This 225-nucleotide non-coding RNA is filed under the name Pseudogymnoascus sp. VKM F-4281 (FW-2241). Its description in RNAcentral is "Eukaryotic small subunit ribosomal RNA". It matches the Rfam family "Eukaryotic small subunit ribosomal RNA", at positions 360 to 599 of the family's 1831-position model. Lineage: Eukaryota; Fungi; Ascomycota; Leotiomycetes; Thelebolales; Thelebolaceae. The record is from Rfam by way of RNAcentral.
CGCCGUCCUCGCCGGAAUAGGCAUACUAAUCUUCCUCAUCCUCCGGAGAGGGAGCCUGAGAAACGGCUACCACAUCCAAGGAAGGCAGCAGGCGCGCAAAUUACCCAAUCCCGACACGGGGAGGUAGUGACAAUAAAUACUGAUACAGGGCUCUUUUGAGUCUUGUAAUUGGAAUGAGUACAAUGUACAGGUCCUGCCAACGCCCCCCCAGGAGGUCCCGUAGCG